RNAcentral lists this small nucleolar RNA (217 nucleotides) under Anaeromyces robustus. Its description in RNAcentral is "Small nucleolar RNA U3". It matches the Rfam family "Small nucleolar RNA U3". From Rfam's summary of the family: Small nucleolar RNAs (snoRNAs) are involved in the processing and modification of rRNA in the nucleolus. The record is from Rfam by way of RNAcentral. Lineage: Eukaryota; Fungi; Neocallimastigomycota; Neocallimastigomycetes; Neocallimastigales; Neocallimastigaceae.
UCGACCGUACUUUACAGGAUCAUGUAUAUAGUACGUUUCCCGUCUUUGUUUUCCAAACAAGACACAUUUACUAAGUUGGAAGAUGAUAUAAAGCACCAGUUCAUAGCGGGAAGUGGUGAUUUUCAUUGUUAUUUUAAACAAUGAAUUUCACUUUGAAGAUCGUGCCUAUCAAAUUUUUCCAUUGAUACGGCAAGGACUUGGUUGCCUUCUGACAACU